UGGUCGGAGUGGAGAGAUUCGAACUCCCGACCCUCUGGUCCCAAACCAGAUGCGCUACCAGACUGCGCUACACUCCG
This 77-nucleotide transfer RNA is filed under the name Rhizobium phaseoli Ch24-10. Its description in RNAcentral is "tRNA-Pro". The record is from RNAcentral. Lineage: Bacteria; Pseudomonadati; Pseudomonadota; Alphaproteobacteria; Hyphomicrobiales; Rhizobiaceae.